UCCGGUUUGAAACCGGCAGUCGCGUUAGACAUGGUAACUAACGCCGAGGGUUGCGCUCGUUGCGGGACUUAACCCAACACCUCACGGCACGAGCUGACGACAGCCGUGCAGCACCUGUGCGGGCCCCCGAAAGGGCACCGUGUUUCCACGGUUUCACCCCGCAUGUCAAGCCCUGGUAAGGUUCUUCGCGUUGCGUCGAAUUAAACCACAUGCUCCGCUGCUUGUGCGGGCCCCCGUCAAUUCCUUUGAGUUUUAGCCUUGCGGCCGUACUCCCCAGGCGGGGCGCUUAAUGCGUUAGCUUCGGCACGGACGGAGUCGACACCGCCCACACCUAGCGCCCAUCGUUUACGGCGUGGACUAC
This 361-nucleotide unclassified non-coding RNA is filed under the name uncultured Actinomycetes bacterium. RNAcentral describes it as "uncultured actinobacterium contains 16S-23S intergenic spacer region". The record is from RNAcentral. Lineage: Bacteria; Bacillati; Actinomycetota; Actinomycetes.